This 1297-nucleotide long non-coding RNA is filed under the name Heterocephalus glaber (naked mole-rat). RNAcentral describes it as "lncRNA (ENSHGLG00000047779.1)". The record is from RNAcentral. Lineage: Eukaryota; Metazoa; Chordata; Mammalia; Rodentia; Bathyergidae.
CCUUGGACAAGUUAUAUAACUCUAAGCCCCAGCUCCCUUGUGUGUAAAGUGGAAAUAACAACCUCAUAAUGUGGAUACAAAGGUUAAAUGAGAUGAAGUACAAACGUAGCGUUGCAGUGUCUCCUACAUAAUGGCACCUAGGAUGGACGAUUAGGAAAAUCUCCCCCAACCCAUCUUCCACAUUUUCAAAAUGAGGGCAAUUACACCAAGGACAAGACUGCUGUGAGGGCUACAGAAUAAAUCACAGAAAGCCUUCGAGGUGACUGGCAUACGAUGGUACUUAUUUGCUUCCUGAAAAUAUUAGCUGUGACGAAUGGGGAGGGGCACAGGGAUGGUAUCCUUCAGCAGCGGACCCCGGGGCCCAAAGCUGAAGAGAGAAGGGCUGGGAAAAGCCAUUCCCAGGAAGAACACAGUGCUCCGAAGCACCGGGCACUGGGCUCUGGGCUCUGGGCUCUGGAUCUGCCCACAGAGCGGGAUCAGAUGCAGGCGGUUGUGAAAUGACAAAUGCAACUGAAUCUGAGUCACCUAGGAUGACGUGCAGAGUGUGUGGAUUAGGUUGGCCCUGGCUCUGGCUGCCUCUCUUUCAGGCACUUCCAACUUCACCAGAGGGCUGAGAAGAGCAAGGAGAGCAACGGGAAGGGAUUUGCUACUACUUUGCCUGUUUUCCGAGGAAGGCAUACUGGCUGUGGAGGAUCAGAAUGAUCUGGAGAGUUUUCAGGAAAAGCCAUGUCCAUCCAGACUUGAUCUGGCCCCAGGCAGAGCAGGAUACCUGAUGGUCACACAUGCAAGAGGAACCUACCGGGCAGCACUUCCAGAUGCCUCCCCCGGCUCUCCUACUGCUCCCUCAAAGCCCCGCUUCAGCUUACGAGUGCCUCGCUUUCUCCUAGCUCAAGAUGACAGAACGUUAGAAAAACAAAAAAAGGUUCCAACAAUGGCUAAAAUCAUAAAGUACAUCAAUCAGUUUCAGGUGAUGAAAAUGAGUAAUGAAGCCCUGUGAUCUGUCUAACCCACCGAAUCGACGGGGGACCCUCUACGUUUCCCCACCCUCCCAGCAGGCUCCUUUGGUCCCCAGUACAACUUUGAAAUACAUAAAGCCAUACCUAUAAAAAAAUUAAUUUCCUUCCCAGAGGACAGAGGACUCUGAACACCUAAAAGUACAAGGGAAUACUGAGUCUCUGCAGUAAUUACUAAGCCACUAAUUGUCUUUGGGGCCUGCUAUCUGGCUUCAGUCACAUCCACCCCAAUUCUGCGAGCCUUGGGGGCACAGGGCUCUCUCUCCUGCCUGCCCAUCUCAGUG